RNAcentral lists this ribosomal RNA (1523 nucleotides) under Vibrio cholerae. Its description in RNAcentral is "partial 23S ribosomal RNA". It matches the Rfam family "Bacterial large subunit ribosomal RNA", at positions 1 to 1582 of the family's 2925-position model. Lineage: Bacteria; Pseudomonadati; Pseudomonadota; Gammaproteobacteria; Vibrionales; Vibrionaceae. The record is from RNAcentral.
GGUUAAGUGACUAAGCGUACACGGUGGAUGCCUGGGCAGUCAGAGGCGAUGAAGGACGUACUAACUUGCGAUAAGCGCAGAUAAGGCAGUAAGAGCCGUUUGAGUCUGCGAUUUCCGAAUGGGGAAACCCAACUGCAUAAGCAGUUACUGUUAACUGAAUACAUAGGUUAACAGAGCAAACCGGGGGAACUGAAACAUCUAAGUACCCCGAGGAGAAGAAAUCAACCGAGAUUCCGGUAGUAGCGGCGAGCGAACCUGGAUUAGCCCUUAAGCACUCGGUGAAGUAGGUGAACAAGCUGGAAAGCUUGGCGAUACAGGGUGAUAGCCCCGUAACCGACGCUUCAUCGAGCGUGAAAUCGAGUAGGGCGGGACACGUGAUAUCCUGUCUGAAUAUGGGGGGACCAUCCUCCAAGGCUAAAUACUCCUGACUGACCGAUAGUGAACCAGUACCGUGAGGGAAAGGCGAAAAGAACCCCUGUGAGGGGAGUGAAAUAGAACCUGAAACCGUGUACGUACAAGCAGUAGGAGCACCUUCGUGGUGUGACUGCGUACCUUUUGUAUAAUGGGUCAGCGACUUAUAUUCAGUGGCAAGGUUAACCGUAUAGGGGAGCCGUAGCGAAAGCGAGUCUUAACUGGGCGCUCAGUCUCUGGAUAUAGACCCGAAACCGGGUGAUCUAGCCAUGGGCAGGUUGAAGGUUGAGUAACAUCAACUGGAGGACCGAACCGACUAAUGUUGAAAAAUUAGCGGAUGACUUGUGGCUAGGGGUGAAAGGCCAAUCAAACUCGGAGAUAGCUGGUUCUCCCCGAAAGCUAUUUAGGUAGCGCCUCGGACGAAUACUACUGGGGGUAGAGCACUGUUAAGGCUAGGGGGUCAUCCCGACUUACCAACCCUUUGCAAACUCCGAAUACCAGUAAGUACUAUCCGGGAGACACACGGCGGGUGCUAACGUCCGUCGUGGAGAGGGAAACAACCCAGACCGCCAGCUAAGGUCCCAAAGUAUUGCUAAGUGGGAAACGAUGUGGGAAGGCUCAGACAGCUAGGAUGUUGGCUUAGAAGCAGCCAUCAUUUAAAGAAAGCGUAAUAGCUCACUAGUCGAGUCGGCCUGCGCGGAAGAUGUAACGGGGCUAAGCAAUACACCGAAGCUGCGGCAAUAUCUUUUAGAUAUUGGGUAGGGGAGCGUUCUGUAAGCCGUUGAAGGUGAAUCGUAAGGUUUGCUGGAGGUAUCAGAAGUGCGAAUGCUGACAUGAGUAACGACAAAGGGGGUGAAAAACCUCCUCGCCGGAAGACCAAGGGUUCCUGUCCAACGUUAAUCGGGGCAGGGUGAGUCGACCCCUAAGGUGAGGCCGAAAGGCGUAAUCGAUGGGAAACGGGUUAAUAUUCCCGUACUUCUGACUAUUGCGAUGGGGGGACGGAGAAGGCUAGGUGGGCCAGGCGACGGUUGUCCUGGUUCAAGUGCGUAGGCUUGAGAGUUAGGUAAAUCCGGCUCUCUCUAAGGCUGAGACACGACGUCGAGCUGCUACGG